AAUAAAUUAAAUUACUCGUAAACUAUUCGAGACUCAGCUCGAUAAAAGCUCGACUCAGCUCGAUAAAAGCUCGACUCAGCUCGAUAAAAGCUCGACUCAGCUCGAUAAAAGCUCGACUCAUCUAAGCUCGUUUGCUAAACGAGCCAAGCUUGAGCUUCUUAAUACUCGGCUCGAGUUCGAUAUGAGUAAAGCUCGAAUUCGGCUCGAGCUCGAAAAAAUUUUAACGAACCAAGCUUGAGCUCUUCAAAGCUCGGCUCGGCUCGGUUCGUUUACAC
Molecule: long non-coding RNA, 275 nt
Filed under: Manihot esculenta (cassava)
Lineage: Eukaryota; Viridiplantae; Streptophyta; Magnoliopsida; Malpighiales; Euphorbiaceae
Description: long non-coding RNA (MESC_LNC004891)
Source: RNAcentral